Helianthus annuus (common sunflower) is the source of this 3118-nucleotide long non-coding RNA. RefSeq lists it as uncharacterized. The transcript is spliced from 2 exons. Lineage: Eukaryota; Viridiplantae; Streptophyta; Magnoliopsida; Asterales; Asteraceae. The record is from RefSeq and is a predicted model, not a curated record.
AAUAAUCACGCUCCAACGAAUUGUUUCAUGGUUCCAUUCUGAAAGGUAUAUAUGCCUAAUUAACCUGGGUCUUCUUAUAUAUUCUGGCAGAAUCGGAUUAUGUUAUAACUUAUGUUGAUAAAUCAACCAUGCAGACUGAUACAUCUGUUUUCCAUUGUGAACCCAUUGAAUAACAGGGAAGCGUUUGGGAACAUGGGUGGUCUUCAUUAGUUGAUAAGGGCAGUUUGGAAUCAUAUUCUUCCAUCCGCAGCUCCCGAAUCACAACCACUUAUUUCUUUAUAUACCAUUUCACAAAGAAAAUAAUAGUGUUCGUUGAAAUCUGGAUCACCAUGGAUUAUGCCAUGGGUUGUGUUACUGUGUACAUAGCGUAUUUGCUAAAAUGUUUUCAUGUGUUAACCUGGAUUUAUGGCAUGUGGCUAUGAUGAAUGUGUAGAUGCGAUUAAGAUUGGCGUGGCAAAUUCGGAGGAUGGCAGGUGUUCACAUGCAACCUCCAUUGCAGCCAUGGUUGGCUACCCUUUACACGCUCUGAGCCUGGUCAUUUACUCUAUAUGCUUUACGAAACUUGAGAAAUGAGUACCUUUUGGUGCAAUAUCCGUUGGCGAUGAUGAUGAAAUGUGAGCCUGAACUGUGAACUACAAACAAUAUGAAACGGGUCAGGUUUACAACGCUACUUAUGUGGUAUGAGUUUGCGAGCAUAUGAUUAAGAUAUUGUGAGAUUUUGGUUGAAGCUCAGGCACAGGCUUGACAGGUACAAAACUUAAAUGUUUUUAAUAUCAUUGUUUUAUUAUAUCCUUUUUAGAUUUGGAUCAUUGAUUAGAUAAGGGGUUUGCUUUGAAAUGUUUGUAUAGUUGGGAUUGAUUUGAAAUGUUUAUAGAGUUCAGAUUGAUUUUUCAACAAUUGAAGUCACAUUUGAGCGUGUGAUAGUGGAGGCUGAUGUUAAUACAUUAAGCAGGAAGCCGAGCCAUACCAAGUUUUGUAAACUUUUAUAUUGAUUUUUUUUUUUUUUUUUGAGGUUAGAAAAAGACACCAACUUCAAUAGGCAUGUUUCAUUAAUGUGGAAGUUUAUGAGAUUUGAGAAGUGGAAAUAAUAAUACUUGAAGCCGAGUCUGGGCUUUAACGGUUGCUAAGGGCGGUGUCUGGGCUUCAUUGUUUGCCUGAACUAAACGACAAAAAGUUCCUGAUGAUAGUGUUGUUUAGGGUUUGUUAGCCUGAACUAAACGCCUUUUGCCUUUGUUUUACACUAACCCGGAACCCUAGGUGGUGGUAUUGUGAUGGUUCGGUGGCGUUAAGAAAGAUGUCCAGAUACGUUCUCUUCAAUUGUUAGGAUUUUAUUCUGGGAUUGAUUUUGGACUACUUUUGGCUGGUUGUGGUUUAACGAUGGCCAAUAUUGUCGUUGGUUUACUACUUAGGGGUUUGAAGGCAGUUAACUCCUCCAUCAGUUGGCGAUAGAGCCGCAUAUAUUGGUACUGACAUACGAAAAAUAUAAUGGUUUUAAGUUUUAUUUGCCUUAAUAUGAUACAGUUCAACCAUCAUAGGCUGAUAUACUGGAUUAAUGAUGAUUCAAACAUACACAUAAAUAGUGUAUUACUUUUACCUUCUGUGGAUUCAUGAAAUGCUUGAAUCAUACGUACCUGCAUACGUUCAUCAAUCAAAAGUGUUCUUCAUAAACUUGCGAAGACGCCUCAUGAAACCACCUUUAUUUUCUCUCUUCUUCUCCUUAUGAGGCCCUGACAUACAUGAUGGUUGGUAAAGAUUGUUCUUUUGCGUGGUAAAAAGGUGCAACAGGCUGUGAUGACGGUGGUGAAGAUUGUUGACUGGCUUGGCAUAAUCGAGGAUGGCAAGUGCAAUUUUAUGCACUUGCAACCCAUGUUAGAGUCAUGGCGGUCCAACAACUACAUCUGAGCCUAAUCAUUUUUAUUUUGAGGUGGUUUUAUUUGUUUUUAUUACAAAGUGUUUUAGCAGAUGUGUUUUGUGCGUUCCAUUCAACCAAAUCUGAGCAAGAUGUUGCAACUUAGAGAUACGUCAUUGAAGCGCUUCAGGUUAGUUUUCAUUUAUUUGGUAUUGCCUGAUCAAAAAAACAGCUGAAUAGUUGAUUUAAUUAUUUAGCUUUAUUUUGUAAAAAUAUGAAACAACAAAUGCUUGCUAAAAUGUUAGUCAGUUAUGUAGACCAUUUAUGCGACUGUCUUUUAGCAACAUCACUUGUGAUUUAAAGAUACCUAACAUUUGGUUUGUAUCUCAUACUAACUUGUCCAUUGUGGUCAAGUGUGAUCUCACGCAAGUAACUGGUCCAAGAAAGAGCCUCUUCCAGUUACUUAAUUGACAGUUAAAUUUUUGUACAAAAUAUAAGUGUUUUAUAAAUGCAGAACAUGUUUAAUAGAUGAUGCCUCCUCUCACUGUCCAUGCUGUAUACAGGUCUGUUACUACUUUAAUUUGAUUUUAAGUUCUCUUGGUACAAAGUAUACACGAGGUAGUACAUUUGCAUGUGUCAAAAUAGAAAUCAAUCGAGUUUUCAUUGAAAUGCCAAAGUAACGAAUUACAAACAAGUGGCAGGUAAACGGGCAACAAGUUGCGCCGCAACCCCCUUUUGAAUUGCAAAACCAAUUCUCCUAAAGACGAAACGACCCUUAAAGGUUGAGAGAUUAAUAUUCACGGCCCGUUGGACCCUGUUUAGAAAUUCCACAACCUCUAGGGCUAGGGAACCAAAUGUAUCAAAAGCGAAUGGGAUAUAUACAUGUUAAUUCUCUAAACAAGCCUUCUCAUGUUUAGCGACCUUGCUUGAUUCCGCCUUCAACGCAGCUUGGCCAGCAACAAACCCGUUAUCCCUGAGCCCAACAAGAGGGGACACUCCUGUAAGGUGGAAAAGGGCUUGAGAUCUGUUUUGGGUCAAGCACAGAGCUAUGAAAGCUAAACACGGGUACGUGAGCGGUUAACAGCUUGCCUUGGAAGUCACACGUUGAAUUUCAUUUGCGACUUUGAAGAGGAGGGUUUGGUUUUUAAAGUGUAUCUACCGUCAUAGUCUCAUGUAGUGCCACGUUUUGUUUUGUGUUAUUCAGUGGGGACAAUUUCAAUUUAUGGAUCUUAAUUGCUUAUGUUUUCUUAUUUCUAUGUAUGUUUCCUA